CGAGCGAACAGAUAAGGAGCUUGCUCCUUUGACGUUAGCGGCGGACGGGUGAGUAACACGUGGGUAACCUACCUAUAAGACUGGGAUAACUUCGGGAAACCGGAGCUAAUACCGGAUAAUAUUUCGAACCGCAUGGUUCGAUAGUGAAAGAUGGCCCUGCUAUCACUUAUAGAUGGACCUGCGCCGUAUUAGCUAGUUGGUAAGGUAACGGCUUACCAAGGCAACGAUACGUAGCCGACCUGAGAGGGUGAUCGGCCACACUGGAACUGAGACACGGUCCAGACUCCUACGGGAGGCAGCAGUAGGGAAUCUUCCGCAAUGGGCGAAAGCCUGACGGAGCAACGCCGCGUGAGCGAUGAAGGUCUUCGGAUCGUAAAACUCUGUUAUUAGGGAAGAACAAACGUGUAAGUAACUGUGCACGUCUUGACGGUACCUAAUCAGAAAGCCACGGCUAACUACGUGCCAGCAGCCGCGGUAAUACGUAGGUGGCAAGCGUUAUCCGGAAUUAUUGGGCGUAAAGCGCGCGUAGGCGGUUUUUUAAGUCUGAUGUGAAAGCCCACGGCUCAACCGUGGAGGGUCAUUGGAAACUGGGAAACUUGAGUGCAGAAGAGGAAAGUGGAAUUCCAUGUGUAGCGGUGAAAUGCGCAGAGAUAUGGAGGAACACCAGUGGCGAAGGCG
Molecule: ribosomal RNA, 678 nt
Filed under: uncultured Bacilli bacterium
Lineage: Bacteria; Bacillati; Bacillota; Bacilli
Description: bacterial SSU rRNA
Rfam family: Bacterial small subunit ribosomal RNA
Source: RNAcentral